Malus domestica (apple) is the source of this 624-nucleotide non-coding RNA. The record is from RefSeq and is a predicted model, not a curated record. NCBI's taxonomy places the organism in Eukaryota, Viridiplantae, Streptophyta, Magnoliopsida, Rosales, Rosaceae.
GGAUUUUUCUGCUUUUCUACUUUUCGAAUCUUUACAAUUUUUUAUGUCAAUAGAUUCCGUAUUCUUCACUUUACCUUUCAGUUUGGUUUUGUCCCUCACAAAUCUCUGCUUCUGUCCGCCUUCAUUUAACUCUCUUCCUCUUAAAUCCUAGGUUUUUUUUUUUUUUUUUUUUUCACAAAAUAGUCACGAGCAAAUAUGGUUUUAGUUGAUUUAUAGAUUUUGUUUCCAAUCUCCAUUUGGUGCCUUGCUCAGAUCGGCUCUGCACUCAUCAUCGACGAUUUCGCCUUCAUGAAGGACUUUGCAAAUCCCAAGACCAAUAAAGAGGCUUCUCAAUCUGUUGUUUGGACUGAAGAAAAGGUGGAUGAAGCUCUCGAAAAUUUCAGAACCGAGAAAAGAGAAAGUUGUAAAAUGGAGACAAAAAAGGAAGGAUGGCAAACAUGAAGAGGGUUCUGGUGUGAGGAUCUAUUGUAGUGGCUUUAAAUAAUGAUAAAGAUGCUUUAAGAAGGUUUUAGUGCACUUCAAGGGAUCACAUAAAUUUCUGAUGCACAAGGCGUAGAUCACUUGCCAUCUGCACAUACUUGGUAACUUCGACUCACAUGUCAUCUUUUUCUUUUUCUUGAAUAU